GAUGAACGCUGGCGGCGUGCUUAACACAUGCAAGUCGAACGAACGACUAUUAACAGAACCUUUCGGGGCGAAGAAUAUAGAAGUUAGUGGCGGACGGGUGCGUAACGCGUGGGUAAUCUGCCUUUGUCAAAGGAAUAACUAUUCGAAGAAUAGCUAAAACCGUAUAACAUAUUAAUAGGGCAUCCUAAUAAUAUCAAAACUGAGGUGGACAAAGAUGAGCCCGCGUCUGAUUAGCUAGUUGGUGAGAUAAAAGCCCACCAAGGCAACGAUCAGUAGCCGACCUGAGAGGGUGAACGGCCACAUUGGAACUGAGACACGGUCCAAACUCCUACGGGAGGCAGCAGUGGGGAAUAUUGCACAAUGGGGGGAACCCUGAUGCAGCAACGCCGCGUGAGUGAAGAAGGCAUUCGUGUCGUAAAACUCUGUAGUAGGGGAAGAAAGAAAUGACAGUACCCUAAAAGAAAGCCCCGGCUAACUACGUGCCAGCAGCCGCGGUAAUACGUAGGGGGCAAGCGUUAUCCGGAAUAACUGGGCGUAAAGGGUGCGCAGGUGGUUUAACAAGUUAGUGGUGAAAGGCAUAGGCUCAACCAAUGUAAGCCAUUAAAACUGUUUAACUUGAGUGCAGGAGAGGAAAGUGGAAUUCCUAGUGUAGCGGUGAAAUGCGUAGAUAUUAGGAGGAAUACCAGUGGCGAAGGCGACUUUCUGGACUGCAACUGACACUGAGGCACGAAAGCGUGGGGAGCAAACAGGAUUAGAUACCCUGGUAGUCCACGCCGUAAACGAUGAGUACUAGGUGUCGGGUGAAGAACUCGGUGCCGAAGUUAACACAUUAAGUACUCCGCCUGGGGAGUACGCUCGCAAGAGUAAAACUCAAAGGAAUUGACGGGGACCCGCACAAGCAGCGGAGCAUGUGGUUUAAUUCGAAGCAACGCGAAGAACCUUACCUAAACUUGACAUACCAAUGACAGCCUUUUAAUCGAGGACUUUUACCUUCGGGUAGACAAUGGAUACAGGUGGUGCA
Molecule: ribosomal RNA, 1021 nt
Filed under: Filifactor alocis
Lineage: Bacteria; Bacillati; Bacillota; Clostridia; Peptostreptococcales; Filifactoraceae
Description: bacterial SSU rRNA
Rfam family: Bacterial small subunit ribosomal RNA
Source: RNAcentral